UGGGGAAUUUUGGACAAUGGGGGAAACCCUGAUCCAGCCAUCCCGCGUGUGCGAUGAAGGCCUUCGGGUUGUAAAGCACUUUUGGCAGGAAAGAAACGUCAUGGGUUAAUACCCCGUGAAACUGACGGCACCUGCAGAAUAAGCACCGGCUAACUACGUGCCAGCAGCCGCGGUAAUACGUAGGGUGCAAGCGUUAAUCGGAAUUACUGGGCGUAAAGCGUGCGCAGGCGGUUCGGAAAGAAAGAUGUGAAAUCCCAGAGCUCAACUUUGGAACUGCAUUUUUAACUACCGGGCUAGAGUGUGUCAGAGGGGGGUGGAAUUCCGCGUGUAGCAGUGAAAUGCGUAGAUAUGCGGAGGAACACCGGUGGCGAAGGCAGCCUCCUGGGAUAACACUGACGCUCAGGAACGAAAGCGUGGGGAGCAAACAGG
This 429-nucleotide ribosomal RNA is filed under the name Acidobacteriota bacterium. RNAcentral's name for it is "Acidobacteria bacterium partial 16S ribosomal RNA". It matches the Rfam family "Bacterial small subunit ribosomal RNA", at positions 355 to 776 of the family's 1533-position model. Lineage: Bacteria; Pseudomonadati; Acidobacteriota. The record is from RNAcentral.